Molecule: transfer RNA, 64 nt
Filed under: Trachymyrmex cornetzi
Lineage: Eukaryota; Metazoa; Arthropoda; Insecta; Hymenoptera; Formicidae
Rfam family: tRNA
About the family: Transfer RNA (tRNA) molecules are approximately 80 nucleotides in length. Their secondary structure includes four short double-helical elements and three loops (D, anti-codon, and T loops).
Source: Rfam by way of RNAcentral
CUUUAGCUCAUGUGAUAGAUCACUGAUCUCGUAAAUCAGAGGUUGUGAGUUCAAUCCUCACAAG